RNAcentral lists this ribosomal RNA (253 nucleotides) under uncultured bacterium. Its description in RNAcentral is "partial 16S ribosomal RNA". It matches the Rfam family "Bacterial small subunit ribosomal RNA", at positions 524 to 776 of the family's 1533-position model. The record is from RNAcentral.
UACGUAGGGUGCGAGCGUUGUCCGGAUUUAUUGGGCGUAAAGGGCUCGUAGGCGGCGUGUCGCGUCGGGAGUGAAAGCCCGUUGCUUAACGGCGGGUUGGCUUUCGGUACGGGCAUGCUGGAGUGCGGCAGGGGAGACUGGAAUUCCUGGUGUAGCGGUGGAAUGCGCAGAUAUCAGGAGGAACACCGGUGGCGAAGGCGGGUCUCUGGGCCGUUACUGGCGCUGAGGAGCGAAAGCGUGGGGAGCGAACAGG